This is a long non-coding RNA of Etheostoma cragini (Arkansas darter), 300 nucleotides long. RefSeq lists it as uncharacterized. Lineage: Eukaryota; Metazoa; Chordata; Actinopteri; Perciformes; Percidae. The record is from RefSeq and is a predicted model, not a curated record. The transcript is spliced from 3 exons.
UAGUGUUUUCAUAAAAACUUAGUUGAUUGACACAACUGUUUGGACCGUUUACACUUUCUAAAGUGGGAGGAUUUUUCUGCAUGGAGUACUUUUACUGAUGAUACUUAGAAACUUUUACUUAAGUAACUUUUUCAGUGCAGGACUUUUACUUGUAAACAAGUGUUUUUACAGUGUGGUAUUAGUUCUUUUACUAAAGUAAAGGAUCUGAAUACUUCUUCCCCCACUGCUCAGAAUUGACUGAGACUGAGUUUCACUCUAUACUCUGAGACUUCCGUCACAGGAAACAGAUCUAGUGGUAUC